Non-coding RNA from Drosophila suzukii, 783 nucleotides. NCBI's taxonomy places the organism in Eukaryota, Metazoa, Arthropoda, Insecta, Diptera, Drosophilidae. The record is from RefSeq and is a predicted model, not a curated record.
CGUAGACGAAAUGAUCGACGUUACCAAGGAGGUGAGGAAAUGCAGGGGGAUGCCAUCUUUCGCAGAAGUACUUUUCCGCACUUCCGUUUUAAUCUUAAAAAGUAACAGGGGAAAAUAAUAUUAAAGUGCUCUAUAUAUUUUGGAUAACAUGAUUUAAGAACUCACAAUGUCGUAAAGUGCAAUCUGGCUGCAAGUUCCUACUGUUGUCUUUAAUGCCGCUGCCGAUCCACCCUUGUACAAUGCCAUCCAGCCCUCUUCCUUGGGAAUCCGAAUGAGACCAUCAAAGACGUUCUUAUAGCUGAAAUCGUGGCGAGAGUAUCCCUAAGAUUGAUGGCGGUAAUUCAAAAGUUGGGUAAAAAUACUUGCGUCGCUGUUCCGGCGGCACCUUCAUAUCAGUCUGCAUGCGCACGUUAAUAAGAUCGGUUGGAAUUCCGCAGGCGGCACCACUAAUACCAGCUACGCAGCCCAAAACAAUUUUGCCCAGAUAUGAAUCCUCCUUGACGUACUCCAUCUGCUUGCCAGUUUCAUAUACCAUAAAAUGGAUAUUGGUGCUGGUCAUCUGUCGAAGGAUGGCAGCGGAAAAACCAUCAUAAAAACCUAAGAAUCCUGAAAACGAGAUUUAUUAUUGGCUGUGUGUUAUAUACCUUUAUAUAUCGUUAAUCGUAUCUUUUUUGCCUUUGGAUCUGCAUGUGCGUCUUCACGAUAUCGAUUGGGGCCACCGCACAGGCAACACAGAUCGAGGAGAAGCCACCGAACCACCAACGCGGAAGGCGUCCUUCUGGC